UGGGGAAUUUUGGACAAUGGGGGAAACCCUGAUCCAGCCAUGCCGCGUGCGGGAUGAAGGCCUUCGGGUUGUAAACCGCUUUUGUCAGAGACGAAAAGGGACGUACGAAUAAUACGUUCCGCUGACGGUAUCUGAAGAAUAAGCACCGGCUAACUACGUGCCAGCAGCCGCGGUAAUACGUAGGGUGCAAGCGUUAAUCGGAAUUACUGGGCGUAAAGGGUGCGCAGGCGGCUGUGCAAGACAGAUGUGAAAUCCCCGGGCUUAACCUGGGAACUGCAUUUGUGACUGCACGGCUAGAGUUUGUCAGAGGAGGGUGGAAUUCCGCGUGUAGCAGUGAAAUGCGUAGAUAUGCGGAAGAACACCAAUGGCGAAGGCAGCCCUCUGGGACAUGACUGACGCUCAUGCACGAAAGCGUGGGGAGCAAACAGG
RNAcentral lists this ribosomal RNA (429 nucleotides) under uncultured bacterium. RNAcentral describes it as "bacterial SSU rRNA". It matches the Rfam family "Bacterial small subunit ribosomal RNA", at positions 355 to 776 of the family's 1533-position model. The record is from RNAcentral.